UAAGGAAUAUUGGACAAUGGAGGCAACUCUGAUCCAGCCAUGCCGCGUGAAGGAAUAAGGCCCUAUGGGUUGUAAACUUCUUUUAGACGGGACAAAACCCCUUUACGUGUAAAGGGUUGAUGGUACUGUCAGAAUAAGCAUCGGCUAACUUCGUGCCAGCAGCCGCGGUAAUACGAAGGAUGCAAGCGUUAUCCGGAAUUAUUUGGUUUAAAGGGUGCGUAGGCGGACUAAUAAGUCAGUGGUGAAAGCCUGCAGCUUAACUGCAGAAUUGCCAUUGAUACUGUUAGUCUUGAGUACAGUUGAGGUAGGCGGAAUGUGUCAUGUAGCGGUGAAAUGCUUAGAUAUGACACAGAACACCGAUUGCGAAGGCAGCUUGCUAAGCUGUAACUGACGCUGAGGCACGAAAGCGUGGGGAGCAAACA
RNAcentral lists this ribosomal RNA (422 nucleotides) under uncultured bacterium. RNAcentral describes it as "bacterial SSU rRNA". It matches the Rfam family "Bacterial small subunit ribosomal RNA", at positions 355 to 774 of the family's 1533-position model. The record is from RNAcentral.